CCUAGGGGAGGCAGCAGUAGGGAAUAUUGGGCAAUGGGCGCAAGCCUGACCCAGCGACGCCGCGUGAGGGAUGAAGGCCUUCGGGUUGUAAACCUCUUUCAGUAGGGAAGAAGCGAAAGUGACGGUACCUAAAGAAGAAGCACCGGCUAACUAUGUGCCAGCAGCCGCGGUAAU
This 174-nucleotide ribosomal RNA is filed under the name uncultured bacterium. Its description in RNAcentral is "partial 16S ribosomal RNA". It matches the Rfam family "Bacterial small subunit ribosomal RNA", at positions 338 to 524 of the family's 1533-position model. The record is from RNAcentral.